CCCAGCUCAGGUGCGCGGGGCGGGGCCGAGGUGAUUGAACCCCCGGAAAUCGCCCCUCGCCGCCAUUUGCUCCCUCAGCUCGGGGAGGCUGCGGCCGGGCUGGGCUCCCCCGGCGUGGCCCAGCGUUCUCCCCCAUUAUCCAUAGGAAAGAAAGCCCAGUGCUCCGGUGUGUCAGGUGCAGAGGAUGAGCUGUCCAGGGAAUGAGCAGCAAAUCCUUUCUGCACCUGCCCUCACCCUGGGACCGGCAACAACCCCAGGUGGGAGCUGUGAGGAUGAUGAGGGGUCAGCAGCCGCAGUUGUUUGCUGUGACUCAGCCCUCUCUAUAUCUUUCAUGAAAGUGGCAGAGGAGAGGGCGGCUCCUGCUGGGGGCUGUUUUAGGAGGGGUUUCCUCAGCUCCCUUCUGCAUGGCGAUGCUGGAGGAGAGGGGCUCGUGGUGGGCUCCUGGGGGGUCUCUCACGGAAGGACAGUGAGAGCAUCUCCCAAAGUCUGGGGGGAGCACUUGGAUGUGGAGCAUUGCUUAAAGGAGGUGCCGAGGGACGAAUCUUUGUGCCAGGCAGCAGCAGGUACAAAAUCGCUGUUUGUACUCAUGAGAAACAGAAGCAAGAAGCCUAAACAACAGAGAACACAGCAACAAAGCUGCACCUGGUGUUUUUCUGAAUGCUUAGAAUGCUUAAGGUGUAUAUAACCAAUAAUAGUAUGUUGUAGUUAAAUAAUAGCCAGUAAGUUUAUUGUGGUAGUUAAGCAACCAAUGGAUAAGUAACAUGAAUGAUAAACAUACAAAAGUGUAUAAAUGACACUGGCUUUUUUGAAUAAACAACUUUUUGCCUGGAA
Corvus hawaiiensis (hawaiian crow) is the source of this 831-nucleotide long non-coding RNA. RefSeq lists it as uncharacterized. The record is from RefSeq and is a predicted model, not a curated record. The transcript has 3 exons. Lineage: Eukaryota; Metazoa; Chordata; Aves; Passeriformes; Corvidae.